AUCUUAUCAAGAGUGGUGGAGGGACUGGCCCAAUGAAGCCCGGCAACCGGUAGUAAGUGCUUACUAUGGCGGUGCUAAUUCCAGCAAUGCCUAAGGUAUUGAAAGAUAAGAA
This 112-nucleotide non-coding RNA is filed under the name Orenia metallireducens. Its description in RNAcentral is "SAM riboswitch aptamer (S box leader)". It matches the Rfam family "SAM riboswitch aptamer (S box leader)". Rfam says of the family: The SAM riboswitch is found upstream of a number of genes which code for proteins involved in methionine or cysteine biosynthesis in Gram-positive bacteria. The SAM riboswitch acts at the level of transcription termination control. Lineage: Bacteria; Bacillati; Bacillota; Clostridia; Halanaerobiales; Halobacteroidaceae. The record is from Rfam by way of RNAcentral. RNAcentral also lists the same sequence under 1 other name.